UUGAACGCUGGCGGCAUGCUUUACACAUGCAAGUCGAACGGUAACAGGUUAAGCUGACGAGUGGCGAACGGGUGAGUAAUGCAUCGGAACGUGCCCGAUCGUGGGGGAUAACGCAGCGAAAGCUGUGCUAAUACCGCAUACGAUCUCUGGAUGAAAGCGGGGGACCUGCAAGGGCCUCGCGCGAUUGGAGCGGCCGAUAUCAGAUUAGCUAGUUGGUGGGGUAAAAGCUCACCAAGGCGACGAUCUGUAGCUGGUCUGAGAGGACGACCAGCCACACUGGAACUGAGACACGGUCCAGACUCCUACGGGAGGCAGCAGUGGGGAAUUUUGGACAAUGGGCGCAAGCCUGAUCCAGCAAUGCCGCGUGCAGGAUGAAGGCCUUCGGGUUGUAAACUGCUUUUGUACGGAACGAAACGGUUCUCUUUAAUAAAGAGGGCUAAUGACGGUACCGUAAGAAUAAGCACCGGCUAACUACGU
This 477-nucleotide ribosomal RNA is filed under the name uncultured bacterium. Its description in RNAcentral is "bacterial SSU rRNA". It matches the Rfam family "Bacterial small subunit ribosomal RNA", at positions 30 to 506 of the family's 1533-position model. The record is from RNAcentral.